Molecule: long non-coding RNA, 706 nt
Filed under: Homo sapiens (human)
Lineage: Eukaryota; Metazoa; Chordata; Mammalia; Primates; Hominidae
Description: HSALNT0403498
Source: RNAcentral
AUUCCACCUGCAACCCUAAUUCCCUUUGUUACGUAGCAUAACAUAUUGACAGGUUCUCAGGACGUCUUUAGCAGGGGCCUUUAUUCUGCCAAUCACAUGAUCUCUAUGAAUCUGCUUCUUGUUUUUUUUUAAUUGGGUGACAUUAAAUUCUGAUUUCUUUCUUUCUUUUUUUUUUUUCUCUAGGGAGUCGUCUCUCAAGAGGACUUGAUCUCUGGCCUGUGAACUGCCCCACAUGUUUCUUCUGCACAUCCUGACUCCCAGGCCUGCACAGGGGACUUCUGCACAGGCCUGACUCCCAGGCCUGACAUUUUCUGGUCUGUCUUCGCCAUGGUCUGCUAUCAACUGCAGUUUUGAAUUCUGGUUUCUCUUAUUCUUUGUCUCUAGGCAAGUCAACAGGUUAGCUUCUUCCUCAUGUUGAGAAUUAUGUGGUUAAAAUGUAGAGAGUUAAUCAUAGUGAGUGAUUGUACUAAGCCCUUCUAUGGUUUCCAGCAGCAAGAAAGAAUAGAUGUUGCUCUUCUGCUUGUUGUUAUGCAGUAAUAGCCACUAUUCUUACAAUUUCAAUGUUAGCUCACUCAGUGCUUUGUUUUUCAAUGAACUGUACCACAGUUAGAAGAAUUUAGAGAUGGGUAAUGAGGAAAGAGUUAUAGAGCAGGGAGUGUGAGAAGCUGUGCUCGUUAUUACUUUAAAUUUUUACAAAGUGUGCAAA